GAUGAACGCUGGCGGCGUGCCUAAUACAUGCAAGUCGAGCGAAGCGGGGACGGGUGAGUAACACGUGGAUAACCUCCUAUAAGACUGGGAUAACUUCGGGAAACCGGAGCUAAACCGGAGACUCAUAGAUGAAUCCGAUCUGCAUUAGCUAGUUGGUAAGGUAACGUCUUACCAAGGCAACGAUGCAUAGCCGACCUGAGAGGGUGAUCGGCCAUCCUGGAACUGAGACUCGGUCCAGGCUCCUACGGGAGGCAGUAGUUGGGGAUCUUCCGCCAUGGGCGAAAGCCUGACGGAGCCACGCCGCGUGAGUGAUGCAGGUCCUCGGAUCGUAAGCCUCUGUUAUUCGGUAAGCCGUACCUAGUCAGGAAGCCACGGCUUACUACGUGCCAGCAGCCGCGGUAAUUC
RNAcentral lists this ribosomal RNA (405 nucleotides) under uncultured bacterium. RNAcentral's name for it is "partial 16S ribosomal RNA". It matches the Rfam family "Bacterial small subunit ribosomal RNA", at positions 28 to 526 of the family's 1533-position model. The record is from RNAcentral.